Molecule: ribosomal RNA, 450 nt
Filed under: uncultured bacterium
Lineage: Bacteria
Description: partial 16S ribosomal RNA
Rfam family: Bacterial small subunit ribosomal RNA
Source: RNAcentral
GUGGGGAAUAUUCCGCAAUGGACGAAAGUCUGACGGAGCAACGCCGCGUGAGUGAUGAAGGUUUUCGGACUGUAAAGCUCUGUUGUUUAGGACGAAAGUGCCUGUUGCAAAUAGUUACAGGUAUUGACGGUACUGAACGAGGAAGCCACGGCUAACUACGUGCCAGCAGCCGCGGUAAUACGUAGGUGGCAAGCGUUGUCCGGAAUUAUUGGGCGUAAAGAGCAUGUAGGCGGGAAUCUAAGUCUGUUGUUAAAAUGCGGGGCUCAACCCCGUAUUGCGAUGGAAACUGGGUUUCUUGAGUGCAGGAGAGGAAAGGGGAAUUCCCAGUGUAGCGGUGAAAUGCGUAGAUAUUGGGAGGAACACCAGUGGCGAAGGCGCCUUUCUGGACUGUGUCUGACGCUGAGAUGCGAAAGCCAGGGUAGCGAACGGGAUUAGAAACCCGAGUAGUCC